Molecule: ribosomal RNA, 253 nt
Filed under: uncultured bacterium
Lineage: Bacteria
Description: partial 16S ribosomal RNA
Rfam family: Bacterial small subunit ribosomal RNA
Source: RNAcentral
UACGUAGGGUCCAAGCGUUAAUCGGAAUUACUGGGCGUAAAGCGUGCGCAGGCGGUUGUGUAAGCCAGAUGUGAAAUCCCCGGGCUUAACCUGGGAACUGCAUUUGUGACUGCAUGGCUAGAGUUUGGCAGAGGGGGGUAGAAUUCCACGUGUAGCAGUGAAAUGCGUAGAUAUGUGGAGGAACACCGAUGGCGAAGGCAGCCCCCUGGGUCAAGACUGACGCUCAUGCACGAAAGCGUGGGGAGCAAACAGG